AUGAGAGAUGAGACAGGGAGGUUGAGGACGGUCACGGUGGGGGAAUUGGCGGCGAAAUCGUCAGAAAAUCGGAGAAGAAGAGGUGGCCGCCGCGUCUGUGACAGAAGAGGGAAAAGGAAUUUUUUGGGAUUUCACGUGAAGUUUAAGGGUCAUAACAAAUUCUCAAACCCAAGUUUACUUAAUCCCUUUCAAUUUUAUUUUUUUGUGUUUUGCUGUUUAUUUGUUACUAUCCGAAUAAAUAAUAACAAAAUGGAAAUUUCUUUGGACACUUUUUAG
Molecule: non-coding RNA, 276 nt
Organism: Vicia faba (fava bean)
Lineage: Eukaryota; Viridiplantae; Streptophyta; Magnoliopsida; Fabales; Fabaceae
Source: the annotation of a GenBank genome assembly